CAAUAUGCAGAAUCUAGUGUUUAUUUGCUUAAAUUUCGGCAACUCCAGUCUCGAGCCCUGGGUAUGAUUCGUUCUCAUGUACUUUCUGUUCUGAAAGGUGCUUCUUCUCAGGUCCAGGCAGCAAUCCGGAGCACUGGUGGCAACAAGACAUCCGUUUCUGAGGGUGUAGAGGCAUCUGUUAUCUAUGUCCGAUUCAAGGCAGCUGCAAAUGAGCUGAAGCCCAUAUUGGAGGAAAUUGAAGGCAG
RNAcentral lists this unclassified non-coding RNA (245 nucleotides) under Hevea brasiliensis (rubber tree). The record is from RNAcentral. Lineage: Eukaryota; Viridiplantae; Streptophyta; Magnoliopsida; Malpighiales; Euphorbiaceae.